ACUUGGCUGGCUCAAUUGGUAGAGCAUGUGACUUGUGAUCUCAGGGUCAUGAGUUCAAGCCCCAUGUUGGGCC
Molecule: transfer RNA, 73 nt
Filed under: Canis lupus familiaris (dog)
Lineage: Eukaryota; Metazoa; Chordata; Mammalia; Carnivora; Canidae
Also listed under: 1 other name
Rfam family: tRNA
About the family: Transfer RNA (tRNA) molecules are approximately 80 nucleotides in length. Their secondary structure includes four short double-helical elements and three loops (D, anti-codon, and T loops).
Source: Rfam by way of RNAcentral